RNAcentral lists this long non-coding RNA (317 nucleotides) under Pollicipes pollicipes. RNAcentral's name for it is "uncharacterized LOC119101355". The record is from RNAcentral. Lineage: Eukaryota; Metazoa; Arthropoda; Thecostraca; Pollicipedomorpha; Pollicipedidae.
GGAUCAGCUCGGGCGGCGCCGGCUUCUGGACGGCCGUGGCCAUAGCGGCGGUGUUUGCCUCCUGCGUCGUGGCCCUGCUCUUCGUGGUCAUCAAGCGCUGUAUGCGGAAGCGGUCCGUCAGCGCGUCGCUUGUCAACGGCUACAUGUUCAGGUACUCGCCGGUACACCGGACGCAUGGCCGGGUCGAGCGCGUGCCGACGUCGGCCAGCAGCGACGACGAGUUGGAGGAGGUGGAGCGGCUGCUCUCAGAGUCCGGCCAGCCGGCGGCCGGCGUUUGAGACCACCGGCGUCCCGCCCCGCCCCGCCCCGCCCCGCCC